CGCCGCGUGGGGGAUGACGGGUUUCGGCUUGUAAACCCCUGUUGCCCGGGACGAAACGCCUUUUUCGAGAGGCUUGACGGUACCGGGUGAGGAAGCACCGGCUAACUCCGUGC
Molecule: ribosomal RNA, 113 nt
Filed under: uncultured bacterium
Lineage: Bacteria
Description: partial 16S ribosomal RNA
Rfam family: Bacterial small subunit ribosomal RNA
Source: RNAcentral